RNAcentral lists this ribosomal RNA (396 nucleotides) under uncultured bacterium. Its description in RNAcentral is "bacterial SSU rRNA". It matches the Rfam family "Bacterial small subunit ribosomal RNA", at positions 120 to 507 of the family's 1533-position model. The record is from RNAcentral.
GGGAAACUGCCUGAUGGGAGGGGGAAUAACCUACUAGGGAAACGGUAGCUAAUACCGCAUAACGUCGCAAGACCAAAGAGGGGACCUUCGGGCCUCUUGCCAUCGGAUGUGCCCAGAUGGGAUUAGCUAGUAGGUGGGGUAACGGCUCACCUAGGCGACGAUCCCUAGCUGGUCUGAGAGGAUGACCAGCCACACUGGAACUGAGACACGGUCCAGACUCCUACGGGAGGCAGCAGUGGGGAAUAUUGCACAAUGGGCGCAAGCCUGAUGCAGCCAUGCCGCGUGUAUGAAGAAGGCCUUCGGGUUGUAAAGUACUUUCAGCGGGGAGGAAGGGAGUAAAGUUAAUACCUUUGCUCAUUGACGUUACCCGCAGAAGAAGCACCGGCUAACUCCGUG